CCUACGAGGCGCAGCAGUGAGGAAUAUUGGUCAAUGGGCGCGAGACUGAACCAGCCAAGUCGCGUGAGGGAAGACGGCCCUACGGGUUGUAAACCUCUUUUGCCGGGGAGCAACGGGCGCCACGUGUGGCGCCACUGAGAGUACCCGGAGAAAAAGCAUCGGCUAAAUCCGUGCCAGCAGCCGCGUUAAUACGGAGGAUGCGAGGGUUAUCCGGAUUUAUUGGGUUUAAAGGAUGCGUAGGCGGAUUGAAAAGCUAGAGGUGAAAUGUCCGGGCUUAACGCGGGAACUGCCUCUAAUACUGUUGAUCUAGAGAGUAGAUGCGGUAGGCGGAAUGUAUGGUGUAGCGGUGAAAUGCUUAGAGAUCAUACAGAACACCGAUUGCGAAGGCAGCUUACCAAUCUAUAUCUGACGUUGAGGCACGAAAGCGUGGGGAGCAAACAGGAUUAGAUACCCCGGUAGUC
RNAcentral lists this ribosomal RNA (461 nucleotides) under uncultured bacterium. Its description in RNAcentral is "partial 16S ribosomal RNA". It matches the Rfam family "Bacterial small subunit ribosomal RNA", at positions 338 to 795 of the family's 1533-position model. The record is from RNAcentral.